UACGAAGGGUGCAAGCGUUAAUCGGAAUUACUGGGCGUAAAGCGUGCGCAGGCGGUUUUUCAAGACAGAUGUGAAAUCCCCGGGCUUAACCUGGGAAUGGCAUUUGUGACUGGAAGGCUAGAGUGUGUGAGAGGGGGGUAGAAUUCCAAGUGUAGCGGUGAAAUGCGUAGAGAUUUGGAGGAACACCGAUGGCGAAGGCAGCCCCCUGGGUCAAGAUUGACGCUCAUGCACGAAAGCGUGGGGAGCAAACAGG
RNAcentral lists this ribosomal RNA (253 nucleotides) under uncultured bacterium. RNAcentral's name for it is "partial 16S ribosomal RNA". It matches the Rfam family "Bacterial small subunit ribosomal RNA", at positions 524 to 776 of the family's 1533-position model. The record is from RNAcentral.